RNAcentral lists this ribosomal RNA (254 nucleotides) under uncultured bacterium. RNAcentral describes it as "partial 16S ribosomal RNA". It matches the Rfam family "Bacterial small subunit ribosomal RNA", at positions 524 to 776 of the family's 1533-position model. The record is from RNAcentral.
UACGGGGGGGGGCAAGCGUUGUUCGGACUUACUGGGCGUAAAGGGCUCGUAGGCGGCCAACUAAGUCAGACGUGAAAUCCCUCGGCUUAACCGGGGAACUGCGUCUGAUACUGGAUGGCUUGAGUUCGGGAGAGGGAUGCGGAAUUCCAGGUGUAGCGGUGAAAUGCGUAGAUAUCUGGAGGAACACCGGUGGCGAAGGCGGCAUCCUGGACCGACACUGACGCUGAGGAGCGAAAGCCAGGGGAGCAAACGGG